Molecule: ribosomal RNA, 253 nt
Filed under: uncultured bacterium
Lineage: Bacteria
Description: partial 16S ribosomal RNA
Rfam family: Bacterial small subunit ribosomal RNA
Source: RNAcentral
UACAGAGGGUGCGAGCGUUAAUCGGAAUUACUGGGCCUAAAGCAUCCGUAGCCGGUUCUACAAGUCUUCCGUUAAAUCCACCUGCUUAACAGAUGGGCUGCGGAAGAUACUAUAGAGCUAGGAGGCGGGAGAGGCAAGCGGUACUCGAUGGGUAGGGGUAAAAUCCGUUGAUCCAUUGAAGACCACCAGUGGCGAAGGCGGCUUGCCAGAACGCGCUCGACGGUGAGGGAUGAAAGCUGGGGGAGCAAACCGG